GGGAUGGGUAGGGGAGCGUCGUUCAGCCAUUGAAGCGCCGGAGUGAUCCAGGUGUGGAGGCUGGACGAGUGAGAAUGCAGGCAUGAGUAGCGAAAGACGAGUGAGAAACUCGUCCGCCGGAUGACCAAGGGUUCCUGGGCCAGGCUAAUCCGCCCAGGGUAAGUCGGGACCUAAGGCGAGGCCGACAGGCGUAGUCGAUGGACAACGGGUUGAUAUUCCCGUACCCGUGUGAACGCGCCCAUGGCGAACCUUGUGAUACUAACCGCCCGAAGCCC
Molecule: non-coding RNA, 275 nt
Filed under: Saccharothrix sp. NRRL B-16348
Lineage: Bacteria; Bacillati; Actinomycetota; Actinomycetes; Pseudonocardiales; Pseudonocardiaceae
Description: partial 23S ribosomal RNA
Rfam family: Bacterial large subunit ribosomal RNA
Source: RNAcentral